AUUGAACGCUGGCGGCGUGGCUAAAGCAUGCAAGUCGAGCGAACCCGCAAGGGUGAGCGGCGGACGGGUUAGUAAUACGAUCGAACGUACCCUGAGGCGGGGGAUAGGCGUGGGAAACUGCGCGUAAUACCCCAUGAUCUCUCCGGAGCAAAGGUUUACCACCUUGGGAUCGGCGAUCGUCCUAUCAGCUAGUUGGCGGGGUAAAGGCCCACCAAGGCUAUGACGGGUAGCAGGUGUGAGAGCACGACCUGCAACAUCGGGACUGAGACACUGCCCGGACUCCUACGGGAGGCUGCAGCGACGAAUCUUCCGCAACGGGCGCAAGCCUGACGGAGCGACGCCGCGUGUGGGAUGAAGCGCCUUCGGCGUGUAAACCACUGUCAGGGAACAAGAAACAAUGAUCGUUCCCAGAGGAAGAGACGGCUAACCCUGUGCCAGCA
RNAcentral lists this ribosomal RNA (440 nucleotides) under uncultured bacterium. Its description in RNAcentral is "bacterial SSU rRNA". It matches the Rfam family "Bacterial small subunit ribosomal RNA", at positions 29 to 513 of the family's 1533-position model. The record is from RNAcentral.